CCUUUUCCAUAUGUGAUGCUUCUGUUGGAUUCCCCUGUUCUGGAAAUGGCUCCAGACUUUUUCAAUGACUUGAUGACCCACUUGGCAAUAUAAGCAGUUUCCUCAUAUUUAACAUUGGGAAUUUCUUUAGUGGCCUUUAGAACCAAAUUCUUCUCAAACUUGGGCUCACUCUUUGACUUCUCAAGAUUCUUUAAUAUCUUAUAGGUUGUGAGAUUUCCAAUGAGCUCAUCCAUGG
This 235-nucleotide long non-coding RNA is filed under the name Capsicum annuum. RNAcentral describes it as "long non-coding RNA (CANN_LNC019651)". Lineage: Eukaryota; Viridiplantae; Streptophyta; Magnoliopsida; Solanales; Solanaceae. The record is from RNAcentral.